This 253-nucleotide ribosomal RNA is filed under the name uncultured bacterium. RNAcentral describes it as "partial 16S ribosomal RNA". It matches the Rfam family "Bacterial small subunit ribosomal RNA", at positions 524 to 776 of the family's 1533-position model. The record is from RNAcentral.
UACGGAGGGUGCAAGCGUUAUCCGGAUUUACUGGGGUUAAAGGGUGCGUAGGUGGGUAGGUAAGUCAGUGGUGAAAUCUUCGAGCUUAACUCGGAAACUGCCAUUGAUACUAUUUAUCUUGAAUACUCUGGAGGUAAGCGGAAUAUGUCAUGUAGCGGUGAAAUGCUUAGAUAUGACAUAGAACACCAAUUGCGAAGGCAGCUUACUACAUAGUUAUUGACACUGAGGCACGAAAGCGUGGGGAUCAAACAGG